Molecule: ribosomal RNA, 274 nt
Filed under: uncultured bacterium
Lineage: Bacteria
Description: partial 16S ribosomal RNA
Rfam family: Bacterial small subunit ribosomal RNA
Source: RNAcentral
AGACGAACCGUACAAACGUUAUUCGGAAUCACUGGGUUUAAAGGGUGCGUAGGCGGCUUGGCAAGUUGGGUGUGAAAUCCCUCGGCUCAACCGAGGAACUGCGCUCAAAACUGCCAGGCUAGAGGGAGAUAGAGGUGAGCGGAACUUAGGGUGGAGCGGUGAAAUGCGUUGAUAUCCUAAGGAACACCAGUGGCGAAAGCGGCUCACUGGAUCUCUUCUGACGCUCAGGCACGAAAGCUAGGGUAGCGAACGGGAUUAGAAACCCCAGUAGUCC